GACAGAGGGUGCAAACGUUGUUCGGAAUUACUGAGCGUAAAGCGCGUGUAGGCGGCUUGGCAAGUCGGGUGUGAAAGCCCUGGGCUCAACCUAGGAAGUGCACUCGAAACUGCUUCGCUGGAAUGCCGGAGAGGAAAGCGGAAUUCAUCGGUGUAGAGGUGAAAUUCGUAGAUAUCGAGAGGAACACCGGUGGCGAAGGCGGCUUUCUGGACGGUUAUUGACGCUGAGACGCGAAAGCGUGGGAGCAAACAGG
Molecule: ribosomal RNA, 253 nt
Filed under: uncultured bacterium
Lineage: Bacteria
Description: partial 16S ribosomal RNA
Rfam family: Bacterial small subunit ribosomal RNA
Source: RNAcentral